AAGCCCUUGUUCUAUAGAUUUGUCUCUAACAUGUUGGGUCUCGGGGGGCUUCCUCUAGAGACUUGGAUGUAAGGGGCUUUACGCAUUCGCAUAACUUAUGAAGUGUGGAUGACUCUAGGAGGGGUCUGAGAAUGUGCUGUGCCAGCCAGGCUGAUAAUUGUUUAAUUGUUAGCUUGGACUUGUACACAGUCUCAUCAGUCUUCAGCUUGGGUCAUUGAUAUUCUGUAAGUCAAAACUUAUCGAUUCACUGUAGUAGGUUGCGGAGGACUUGAAAGUUCUCUCUGCAAUUGAGACACUUACCAGGCCAUCGCAAGUUGGCAGUGUACACUACUGAUUUUACGGUCGUGGGGGACUUGGGAGCUGGUGCUUGUGUCGCAUGAGGUAGAGUUGAUAUGGAUGGAUGGAAGAGAAGCAUAUGUAUGUCGUGGGGGACUUGGGGUAAGACGCCUUGCGGCAAGUAGAGUCAAACCAGUAGUGACUUCUUUUGGUCAUGGGGGACUUUGGUAAUGGUAGUGAGCCGGAAUAAGGGAUGGAUAAAUGUAGUAUGGAUGGUGACAGGGGGAGCAGCAGAGCGUACGCAGUGGGUAUGUAUAUAGUUGAAAAGGGAUGGGCAGUAGAAUUUUGAGGAAUUAAUGACCUAAGGGUGGUUCUAAUAGGCUUGUCAAGAAAAAAGUUAAGUUGAAUCAAGCUGGGUCAAGCAAAGUCUAGAAAAGAUUUAUUG
This 721-nucleotide ribosomal RNA is filed under the name Cryptococcus neoformans. Its description in RNAcentral is "partial 28S ribosomal RNA". Lineage: Eukaryota; Fungi; Basidiomycota; Tremellomycetes; Tremellales; Cryptococcaceae. The record is from RNAcentral.